RNAcentral lists this ribosomal RNA (253 nucleotides) under uncultured bacterium. RNAcentral describes it as "partial 16S ribosomal RNA". It matches the Rfam family "Bacterial small subunit ribosomal RNA", at positions 524 to 776 of the family's 1533-position model. The record is from RNAcentral.
GACGUAGGAUGCAAGCGUUGUCCGGAAUUAUUGGGCGUAAAGAGUUCGUAGGUGGUAUGUUAAGUCUGGUGUUAAAUCCCGAAGCUCAACUUCGGAUCAGCACUGGAUACUGACAAACUAGAGUGCAGUAGAGGCAAGGGGAAUUCCUAGUGUAGCGGUGAAAUGCGUAGAUAUUAGGAGGAACACCGGUGGCGUAAGCGCCUUGCUGGGCUGUAACUGACGCUGAGGAACGAAAGCCAGGGGAGCAAAUGGG